This 505-nucleotide ribosomal RNA is filed under the name uncultured bacterium. Its description in RNAcentral is "partial 16S ribosomal RNA". It matches the Rfam family "Bacterial small subunit ribosomal RNA", at positions 28 to 507 of the family's 1533-position model. The record is from RNAcentral.
GACGAACGCUGGCGGCGUGCCUAAUACAUGCAAGUCGAACGCACAGUUUAUACCGUAGCUUGCUACACCAUAAACUGUGAGUUGCGAACGGGUGAGUAACGCGUAGGUAACCUGCCUGGUAGCGGGGGAUAACUAUUGGAAACGAUAGCUAAUACCGCAUAAUAUUGAUUAUUGCAUGAUAAUUGAUUGAAAGAUGCUAUUGCAUCACUACCAGAUGGACCUGCGUUGUAUUAGCUGGUAGGUGAGGUAACGGCUCACCUAGGCGACGAUACAUAGCCGACCUGAGAGGGUGAUCGGCCACACUGGGACUGAGACACGGCCCAGACUCCUACGGGAGGCAGCAGUAGGGAAUCUUCGGCAAUGGACGAAAGUCUGACCGAGCAACGCCGCGUGAGUGAAGAAGGUUUUCGGAUCGUAAAGCUCUGUUGUAAGAGAAGAACGGGUGUGAGAGUGGAAAGUUCACACUGUGACGGUAUCUUACCAGAAAGGGACGGCUAACUACGUG